AUUGAACGCUGGCGGCAGGCCUAACACAUGCAAGUCGAGCGAGCGGAGGACGGGUUAGUAAUGUAUGGGGACUGCCCGAUAGAGGGGGAUAACUACUGGAAACGGUGGCUAAUACCGCAUACUAUCAGAUAACCCCUAUGGGAUUAGCUAGUAGGUUGGGGAAACGCUCACCUAGGCGACGAUCUCUAGCUGUGCUGAGAGGAUUAUCAGCCAGACUGGGACUGAGACACGGCCCAGACUCCUACGGAGGCAGCAGUGGGGAAUAUUGCACAAGGGGCGCAAGCCUGAUGCAGCCAGGCCGCGUGUAUGAAGAAGGCCUUAGGGUUGUAAAGUACUUUCAGCGGGGAGGCGUUACCCGCAGAAGAAGCACCGGCUAACUCAGUGCCAGCAGCCGCGGUAAUAC
RNAcentral lists this ribosomal RNA (403 nucleotides) under uncultured bacterium. Its description in RNAcentral is "partial 16S ribosomal RNA". It matches the Rfam family "Bacterial small subunit ribosomal RNA", at positions 30 to 526 of the family's 1533-position model. The record is from RNAcentral.